RNAcentral lists this long non-coding RNA (7055 nucleotides) under Fragaria vesca (wild strawberry). Its description in RNAcentral is "long non-coding RNA (FVES_LNC003899)". The record is from RNAcentral. Lineage: Eukaryota; Viridiplantae; Streptophyta; Magnoliopsida; Rosales; Rosaceae.
AAUAAUAGGGGUGUGUAUUAAGAGAUUAGGGGUGUGUAUUUAAAAUUUCUCUUUAAGAUUCCAUAAGAAAUUCUACUUAUUGAAGAUGAUAAUUCUAGAUAGAAAAAUUAUUGGUUUUAUAAAAAGAUUCAAUUUCAAGCACGUACUUGGUAAAACAAAAAUGAUAAGAAAAAGUUUGUAAUGUGUAACAAUGUAUUGUCCUUUAUUGUAAUUAGGUAAUUUAGUUUUUUAAUAAAUCAACAUCUUAUAGGGUGAGUAAAAUGGAUGAUAGGGUGACAUCAGCCGUACAUUUUGAAGUUGGCAUCUUCUGUCCAAUCUGAAGUCUAAUACAUUUUGAAAUCCUAAUCAAAUCUUAACUACUCUACCAAACACGGCCAAAAUGUAAAACUCCACUUUGAUAUGGUUGGGUGAUUUUUGGACUUCGAUAAAAGUGGCAGCAAGGUUUACAUGUCCUCUGAAAUGGUUUUCAAUGUAAGACCUGCUACCAUGCAUGAUACCAUCCUACCCAACUUCACUAGAGAAACCUGCUAGUUUGCUACGAUAACUAAAAGCAAUUACUAUCAGACUUCAAUUCUGAAACUACAAAAAACCAUGUGGGGGAUGACAAAUGCAAACACAAAUCUUUCCAAAUCUUUCCAUUAUAUAUAAGCAUGCAUGAACCUAACUGCAGGAGCAGGCACCAAAAUUGCCUCCUAAGUCCUACCAAAUUGCGUAUCAUACCAAUAACACCAUUUACCUAAUCAGCCCCGUUGUGAUUUCUUCAUUUUCCUAAGGAUUGAAUUUAGUUGGGCCUCUUGAUUAACCAAACAAUGGGCAUCGGCCCAGUUAAGAUGAGGGAUAAGUUCAUUCCUAUAAAUUUACAAGCCUUCCUGUAGCCUCUCAAACUGCGGAACAUAUGAAAGUAACUAUACAUCUAAGUUGGCUUUUCCAGUACUAGACAAAAACUGAUUUCACGUGUAUCAUGAAGUUUGGUUUUCUCCAACUCACAGUUUCUCUAUGGAUGACCAUUACUCAUCCACCAGUUAUAGGCAAGAGAGGAAAGAGUUGUUAAGGUUGAGAAAUAUCGUAAGCGGUAACAAACAUAGAAAAAGACAUGUGAAUGAUAGUGGAAGCAAAAAGAAGACGACCAAGACCAAGACCCAUUGUCUAACAGUGCGAGGGAGAACCUAUCUUCUUUCUUUAAUUUCAUACCACUCGGCCACUAUAAUAAUUCAUACAACUUUACCGAAUGAAUCAUUGAUCACUCACCAAAAAACAAGGUAAAAGGAAUCAUUGAUACCAAAAGGAAAAAACUUUACCAAAUGAAGUGAAUCCUGAGCUUAUAUCAAACAAACUUGUAUGUCAGUAUAAUAGAAUGUGGUGCUAUUGAUUCACACUUAUAGUUAAUCGAGUAUAGUGCACGUUUCUCAAUCUUUGUUUCGAAGGCGAUUCAGUUGCUGCAAAAUUGAGGAUUGUUAUAGAAAAACGAUUCAGUUUUGAGUCAUAUGGCCAACCCUGAAGUAGCUGUAAAUGUAGAGCACUUGGAAGAAGAGAAAACUCUGAGGUCAGUCGUUCUUCAGCUCACUUUAAGAUUAUGCAUUUUCUUCUUGUAUAUUAUAGUGAUGAGUGUAACUUGUGGUCUUGUUGUGUGAUUUUAGAUCGGUUGUUGAUGAACAUAGCGAGUUAGAGACUACUGCAACGGCAGAAUCUGCCCCAAAAGAUGGAGGAGAUACAAAAGAAGCUAGAAGCUGCAGGUUAUCCUUCAAUACAAUUUUCAAUCGAAAUGGGAACUUCCUUCCUAUGUGGAACAACGUAUUUGUAGUAUCUUGUGUGUUUGCUGUCUCCUGUGAUCCUUUGUUCUUCUACAUUCCGAUCAUUAACGAGAAGAAGAAGUGUCUAUAUUUUGACACAAGGUUGAAGACCGUAGCCCUCGUCUUACGGUUACUCACAGAUCACUUCUACAUUGCGGACAUUAUUAUGCGAAUUUUGACCAGUAUACGUCAAAUCAAGUUAUCAAAGGCUUCUGGGGUGAUGAAAGCACAAUUAGGAUCUCCUAAUUUGAAUGGGAAGACAUCAGUUGGUGAUGUUUUUGAAAUAGCUAAGAGGGCUUGGGCGAAAACUAAUAGAUUAUACGUCCUGAUUGACAUUUUAGCUAUUCUUCCCAUACCCCAGGUAAUCAAGAGAACCCUUUCAUGGUGUAAUGUUGUUUAAUUUCUUUCUUUCUAGCUAGUUGCUUGAACUUAUACUUGCCAUUUGCAGGUGGCAAUGUUCAUUUUCUUUUCGAAAAUGAAGGGUCCGGGAUGUUCAAAAGAAAGAAGGUUUUUCGACACUCUUAUUAUAUUCCAAUUUGUCCCACGAGUUCUUCCCGUUUACUUAUUGUGCAGAGAACGCAAGAGAACUCUUAAUAAAGCAAGCAUGUGGACUAAAGGUGUUUUCAAUUUCUUCCUAUACAUCCUUGCAAGUCAUGUAAGUCCUACUACUGAGGCCAGUUACAUUUCUUUUAUAAGUUCCACCUAUAUGCAAUUGUCUUAAUUUGCAGAACAAAUGUUAAGUAGUUUUUGGUUUUAAGGUACUCGGAGCUCUUUGGUACUUCUUUGCCAUUCAACGAGAGAUGGAUUGUUGGCAUUCUGUUUGCCAACAUCACAAUAAAUGCCAACUCAGUACCUAUAGUUGUAGCGCAGGACAAGAUAGAUUGAGAAAUAUCCCAUUGUUAGACAUAAAAUGUCCGAUAAACCUGCCGGAAGAAAAGAAAGGAAAGCCCUUUGAUUUUGGUAUAUUUGCUGAUGCGCUUGACUCCGGCCUAGUGCAGACUACUGAUUUUCCUGAAAAAUUCUUGAAUUGUUUCUGGUGGGGGCUGCGAAAUCUGAGGUUUGCACAUAUUACUAGUUCUGUGCUUUGUUUACAUAUCUUCAUGACCUAGGAGAUGUUCUUAUAUACUAAUUGCUGCAUUUGUUUUGUUUCUAAUUGUGCAGCUCUCUGGGUCAAAACCUCCAUACAAGCACCUAUGCAUGGGAAAACCUCUUUGCUGUGUUUAUUUCGAUCAUAGGCUUGCUAUUGUUUAUAUAUCUCAUCGGAAAUUUGCAGGUUGGUGUCCAGUUUAUGAUACCUUAAUGCUCAUGUAUUACAUAGAAAUGCAUUUUGAUCAGUACUAUAUGUUUAAUGAACUAAACCUAUGCUUCUUUUGUCGUGGACUAUCAUAUUGUAGACAUACUUGCAGUUUGCGACUACAAGAUCAGAGAAGCUCAGAAGAAAGAUGAAAACGAAAAAUUUAGAGGUUGAUUUGCGGCUAUCAAGAAAAGGCCUCCCUAGCAAUUUGAAGGUAGUGAUAAUGCAAAUCAUACAACAAAAACUUGAACAGAACAAAGAUGUUCAAGUUGAGGACAUCCUUUCUGUUCUUCCUUCAGCACAUAGUAAAUAUAUCAGACGCUAUCUUAGUUUGGCUACACUCAAGAAAGUAAGCAAUUUCCUUUGUGAAUAUAACAGUGGAAAGGCCUAGCCAUCGUNNNNNNNNNNNNNNNNNNNNNNNNNNNNNNNNNNNNNNNNNNNNNNNNNNNNNNNNNNNNNNNNNNNNNNNNNNNNNNNNNNNNNNNNNNNNNNNNNNNNNNNNNNNNNNNNNNNNNNNNNNNNNNNNNNNNNNNNNNNNNNNNNNNNNNNNNNNNNNNNNNNNNUUCUCAAAUGGGCAUCCAAUUUCAGCGGUCACCAGGACUUACCAAUCUCAACGAGAAUGGUUAAGCCUGUCACUAAAGUUGAAGCAUUUUUCACUGAGUAAGGACGACUUGAAGAGUGUAGCCAUCAAGUACUGGUGGAAUUUCACCAAGAACAAGGAUCCGAAGGAUUUCGACCAGUCUGUGUUGGAGGAGUUUGCAGUAUCUUCCAUAGAAAAAGAAAUCCGUCGCCGCAGGCAAGUGAAGAAGAAGCAUACAAUAAGGUCUCUUCAUAAGUUGGAUACUCAGGGUAGUGCUAGCCAGAAGUUGCAGAAGGUUAUCAGUAGGGUCAUGAAGGAUCAGUUGCCUUCACCUGUUUGUGCUCUAGAUGGCAGGUAAUUAAUUAGCUGCCUAAGCUAAGCUUUUUUGAGUAUUAUUAAUGGAUCUAGCUAGUUUCAAAGAUCAAGUGUAAUUAACAAAUAACAAGCCCCUAAUCAGAAUAAAGUACCUCCUUUUGGAUAGCUCUGAUUUUGAGCACGUGCGUAGUGCAAAAUCCUACAACACGUACACAAGGUCUCCCGUGAUUCAGACCGAGUCGGGUAUAUUUGAGACUGGACUCAUGGAUUUGAAGGAGCCCAAGUGUGGAGCCAAUAGCAGCCCAGUAGCUAUUUAUGCCAUGCACAGUAUGCACUACCCUGGCCUCCGAUGACCGAAGCAAGAGGACGACAUCAUGAGUCAUCAAUCAUGACAACUCGUUACGAUUAUGGUGUUAUUUACAUAACAUUAUAUAUAGUUUAACAAACACAGAGUCUAACUGGCCGGGUUUAAUUGUGUUGAUUUGUUAUAGUUCACGAUGAUAGAAAGCCUCCAACUAUUACAUACUGACUUAAAAAAUGUAAGGACAGCAAGAGAUAUGGAGUGCUUGGAGUUCUAAUGACUUUAACUCCUAGAAGAUCGAAGAUCGAAAAAACAAUUAGACCAAAUGCAAAUGUAGUGUGUAUGGUUCUUCUUUUUCUUCCAUCAACACACAACAGGUAACUAAACUAUCACAAGUGGUUAUCCAAAAAAAAUAAUUAAUAUCACAAGUGGACAUUGUCAACCAAAUUAUAGAAUUAGAGGUUGAUGAUUAUAAAUUAGUUUCUAAAGAAUGAGGUAAUGUAGUGGGCAUAUUUUGGUUUAUCAGUGGUGUUCACAUAGUCACAUAGUGACUAAGGAAAUUAUAAUUAAUCAUUGUUUGAUGUAAAUUCAAGGGUGGAAAUGUGGAAAACAAAACAACUUAAUUUUACAAUAAUACUUCUCAUAUUUAGAUUUACAUUCAACAGUAAUUGACCAUGAUUUCUUUAGUCAUUAGGUGACCAUAUGAACACUACUAUUUGGUUUAUAACAACAUAUUCCCUCAAAAUGCCCCAACAUAUCCCCAACAUAAGCUAGAAACUAAUAUCAAAAUCAAAAUAUGUGUACAUGUUGAGGUUACUAUAUUAUUAUCUACAGAGGGCCGGUUGACUCUGAAGAGGAGUGUUGUUUAAGGUUCCUAAUUAACUUAACCUCCAAUGUCUAAAGGUCUAAGCAGGAAUUAAGGGAGGAUAUAUAUAUAUAUAUACUACCAGAAGAAAGACUUUAGCCGAAACGAAAAAAAAAAACAGGCCGNNNNNNNNNNNNNNNNNNNNGUUCAUUUCUAGGGAUAGAUCAUUUGACGAACUUUUUUAUCACAAAAUCAAAUCUCCACCGUUCAGUUCGUUGGGCUAUAUGAGUAGAUCACUUAUGCAAAUUUUCAGAAAAUUUGGUGAUCGUUAAGUCAUCCAAAUGAGGGAUUUAUUUUUAAUGAUUUUGAACGGUGUAGGUUUGACAUAAGUGUUAAGUUUUUUGUUUUAAUCUCAACCAUUCAAGCCCAUUAAAAAACAGAUCUAAUGUAGUGGACCUAUCCCUAAAAAUGAAAAAAAAUAGGGAUCCCUCAUUAGAAGGGCCCUAUAUAUAGCAGGGAUGUGAAGUGGACGUCCGCACAGUCCUUAAAGUGCAGACGUCCCUCCGUUCUCCACCGAACGGCUCCAACGACGCGGCGCCUCCACCCCAGCGGCCUCCAGCAGCGUCCCCGAUCACUUUUCCUCCUCGGCGAGUCCGCUGAAUUCCAGUUUUCCGGUGAGAUUGAUUUUGUUUGAAGUUUUGGGUGAUCUCGGCGGACUCGCCGGGGAGGGAAAGUGAUCGGGGACCCUGCUGGAGGCCGCUGGGGUGGAGGCGCGCCGUUAUCGGAGCCGUACGGAGGAGAACGGAGGGACGUCCGCACUUUAAGGCCGAUGCGGACGUCCACUCCUCAUCCGGCCUGUAUAUAUAUAAACAUAAACCCAUCAAGGUUUUACAUCAAUUUAAAUAGUCACAAAGAAAGUACAUUAUAAAGACCUCCACUUUUGGUUCUUUUUCCAUGUGGGAUAAAUCUAACACAAGUUCCAACAUGACUCUAUCCCAGAUGUUUGAAGAUUGGAUCACUGAACACGAUCUUAUCUACGUACGUACUCCAACAAUUUGAAGAGAAAGCAAGACGGUAUCAGAUUUUUAUAGCCAAAUAUCUCUCUCUGUAAAAGUUCAACAAAGAAGGUGCGCAUAGUGAUGAUAUUCGGCUUAAAGAUUUGAAACCGCCUUGCUUCGAUCUCUUCAUUGUUGGAAUAAACACAAUAUGUACAGUACUUUGAAUUUUUAUGCAAGGUUGGAUUGGGCCUUGUAAACUUGGGUUCAUGCAUUCAUUUUACAGGAUUAGAUAGACGAGCUAACUCAUCCAAGCCACAAAAAACAACCCAAAUAGAUUAGAGGCCCACUGGCCCAUAACCCAUCUCUCUCUUCUCCUUUCCUUCAAAAGUGUUUACCUUGUCUUCUAGCUACAAGGUUGUUUAAGAUUCCAUAAGAAAUUCUACUUAUUGAAGAUGAUAAUUCUAGAUAGAAAAAUUAUUGGUUUUAUAAAAAGAUUCAGUUUUAAGCACGUACUUGGUAAAACAAAAACGAUAAGAAAAAAGUUGUAAUUUGUAACAAUAUAUUGUCUUUUAUUGUAAUUCAGUAUUAAGGUAAUUUAAUCUUUUAAUAAAUCAACAUCUUGUAUGAUAAGUAAAGUGGAUGAUAAGGUGACAAUAGCCACACCCUUUGAAGUCGGCAUAUUCUGUCCAAUCUGAAGUCUAAUACAUUUUGAAAUCCUAAUCAAAUCUUAACUACUCUACCAAACACGGCCAAAAUGUAAAACUCCACUUUGAUAUAGUUGGGUGAUUUUUGGACUUCGAUAAAAGUGGCGGCAGGGCUUACAUGUCCUCUGAAAUGGUUUUCAAUGUAAGACCUGCUACCAUGAUACCAUCCUACCCAACUUCACUAGAGAAACCUGUUAGUUUGCUACGAUAAGUCGAUAACUAAAAGCAAUUUAGACUUCCAAUUCUGAAACUACAAAAACCAUGUGGG